UACGAAGGGGGCUAGCGUUGCUCGGAAUCACUGGGCGUAAAGGGUGCGUAGGCGGGUCUUUAAGUCAGGGGUGAAAUCCUGGAGCUCAACUCCAGAACUGCCUUUGAUACUGAGGAUCUUGAGUGCGGGAGAGGCGAGUGGAAUUCCCAGUGUAGAGGUGAAAUUCGUAGAUAUUGGGAAGAACACCAGUGGCGAAGGCGGCUCACUGGCUCGUAACUGACGCUCAGGCGCGACAGCGUGGGGAUCAAACAGG
This 253-nucleotide ribosomal RNA is filed under the name uncultured bacterium. RNAcentral's name for it is "partial 16S ribosomal RNA". It matches the Rfam family "Bacterial small subunit ribosomal RNA", at positions 524 to 776 of the family's 1533-position model. The record is from RNAcentral.